GCUCAAAUUUGAAAUCUUAAAGGGUUUCCCUUUACGAAUUGUAGUUUAAAGAAGUGUUUUCUGUUGAGGUUUUGGUAAAAGUUCUUUGGAAUAGGACAUCAUAGAGGGUGAGAAUCCCGUAUUUGACCUUUACUUUCAACUUUGUGAUACACUUUCAAAGAGUCGGAUUGUUUGGGAAUGCAGUCCAAAAUGGGUGGUAAAUUUCAUAUAAAGCUAAAUAUUGGCGAGAGACCGAUAGCGAACAAGUACCGUGAGGGAAAGAUGAAAAGAACUUUGAAAAGAGAGUUAAACAGUACGUGAAAUUGUCAAAAGGGAGGCGUUUGACACCAGUGUUGUUUUUCUGAAAAUCAAUUAAAGAACUGUUUAUGCUAAGCUGUUUAGACUUUAUCAGCUAUCUGUUUAGUUUUGAGCUUUUCUUUAAUGCACUUUUCAGUUAACAAG
Molecule: ribosomal RNA, 441 nt
Filed under: uncultured Neocallimastigomycetes
Lineage: Eukaryota; Fungi; Neocallimastigomycota; Neocallimastigomycetes
Description: LSU rRNA
Rfam family: Eukaryotic large subunit ribosomal RNA
Source: RNAcentral